Molecule: ribosomal RNA, 775 nt
Filed under: Bacillus sp. (in: firmicutes)
Lineage: Bacteria; Bacillati; Bacillota; Bacilli; Caryophanales; Bacillaceae
Description: bacterial SSU rRNA
Rfam family: Bacterial small subunit ribosomal RNA
Source: RNAcentral
CUGGCGGCGUGCCUAAUACAUGCAAGUCGAGCGGACAGAUGGGAGCUUGCUCCUGAUGUUAGCGGCGGACGGGUGAGUAACACGUGGGUAACCUGCCUGUAAGACUGGGAUAACUCCGGGAAACCGGGGCUAAUACCGGAUGGUUGUUUGAACCGCAUGGUUCAAACAUAAAAGGUGGCUUCGGCUACCACUUACAGAUGGACCCGCGGCGCAUUAGCUAGUUGGUGAGGUAAUGGCUCACCAAGGCAACGAUGCGUAGCCGACCUGAGAGGGUGAUCGGCCACACUGGGACUGAGACACGGCCCAGACUCCUACGGGAGGCAGCAGUAGGGAAUCUUCCGCAAUGGACGAAAGUCUGACGGAGCAACGCCGCGUGAGUGAUGAAGGUUUUCGGAUCGUAAAGCUCUGUUGUUAGGGAAGAACAAGUACCGUUCGAAUAGGGCGGUACCUUGACGGUACCUAACCAGAAAGCCACGGCUAACUACGUGCCAGCAGCCGCGGUAAUACGUAGGUGGCAAGCGUUGUCCGGAAUUAUUGGGCGUAAAGGGCUCGCAGGCGGUUUCUUAAGUCUGAUGUGAAAGCCCCCGGCUCAACCGGGGAGGGUCAUUGGAAACUGGGGAACUUGAGUGCAGAAGAGGAGAGUGGAAUUCCACGUGUAGCGGUGAAAUGCGUAGAGAUGUGGAGGAACACCAGUGGCGAAGGCGACUCUCUGGUCUGUAACUGACGCUGAGGAGCGAAAGCGUGGGGAGCGAACAGGAUUAGAUACCCUGGUAGU